CCCGAGAUUCCCACCACGACUUACUGAAAAUCAAGACUUUACUAAAAGCAAGAGAACUGAAACAGUGCAGAACAGACACAAGCAUGAGGUGACUCAGGCCGGCAGCUCUGCCAGAUAGUCAGUGGUCACUGGCCAAAUGCCCAGUUAGCGAUCGAUCAGCUGGGAGGCCUGACGAGCCCACGGUCUUGUUUAAAUGUUGGCGUUUGAUUGCGAGCUCAAGACGGCAAGGGGAUGAAGGGAAACAGACGGACCCAACUGGAAUUUCCCUUAUUGCAACAUGCGACUGUUGCCUCUAAUUCUUCCUCUGUGCAUCCCUGCUGGCCUUCUGCUGGCCUUCAUCACUGCCAGGGCACACUGCUGACUCAGGUGCCAAUUACAGCUUCACGGUAUCAUUUAGGUUGGAAAGCACCUCUUGAGAUCACCUUGUCAAACCCUCGCUGCUGAAACAAGGUUUCCUACCUCCGCUCUGUUGUUCACACACAAAUUUCUGGAAUGGUUUUCUCUCUAACGUCUUUUACAGAUGUCUUUAAAAUAUAAAUUGCUGCCUAAAUUUGCAUGUUUUGUCAGAGCAAGUUUAGUCAAGAGAAAGCUCACAAAAUGAUAGGUGACUCGACCCUAAAUACAUGGUAUAUUUUUUUUCUGUCUUUCAUUGUUACAAAUUUAAAAGGCCCUAUCAACUUUGUUACUUGAUACCAUUUAAAAGAAAUUGCCUGUUGAAUUUUAGAAUAGAAUUAUCCUUCAGCUUUUUAAAAGCAGUAAUGAUCUGUAGGUUCAGUAAAUCCUCACCUUUCUUCAAUCGAAGUAAUGCUGGUUUUCACUUGUUUAUGCAAAAUUUUCCAAAUACUUUAAUACAAAGGUAAGUUAUAUCCUCUGAAGUUAGUGUAGGCUUGGUAUGCAUUUGACAGAAUUUCAAAAUUUGCCAUAUAUCAAAAUGCUAAAGCUUUUCAGCUUUGGCUGCUAUAGGCAGGGCUCUUACUCUUUGUAAGUAAUGUACCCUUUUCUGAUGGCGAUGUUGGCUUAGGAAUUAUGCUAUUUUUGUUAAAAAGGACAUUUUCUUGUUUUUACUUUUCAAGUCUAGUGCAGCAAGUAAAUGUUGCUGUGAGAAAACAUUAAUGCAUGAACUACUGUUGAGUUUAUUUCAGAUGGUGGAAAAAUACGUACCUUGCUGGAGCUAUGAAACAUACUCUGAGACACAUAAUAUGAAAUUUGACUUUUAAAUACAUUUUUAGUAUUUUUUUUCUGAUCGCUGCAUACCCAUUUUUAAUUUUUACAUUUCUGCUGAAGUGAAGUCAUACUUCUGAAAACUUACAAAAAGUGAAAUACAAAACUAAUAGUUGUUUUCUACAGAUGUUCAAAACAGUCUUAUUGGAAUACUCAGCAAAUUUUUGUUAUGUCCCAAAUUAAUCUCUCACAAGAUACCUUUUUAAUAACAAAACCAGUUUUACGAAACAGCAGUACCUGAGUCCUGGCUAAGGCUGCUACCAACUAACUUUGGCUCCCUUUAGGGUUCUUCCCUCAGGAUGCUUCCGUUUCAGAUGAAAAAAACUCAACACCUUCUCCCACUAGACAAAAAAAAUAACACCUCCUUCCAUAAACCACAUUCACCCAUGUUCUAUGAUAUUACAUUUCUCCAAGAACUACUCAACAGCCUGAGAAUGUGAAAGCUGAGUAUGAGUCAAGCUUAGAAAAUUGUAGGGAAUUAAUUUUUUUUUUUUUGGCAAGAGACAAGGGAAGAAAAACAACCAGAAGAGCUGUGGGGCAAGCAGAGUGAAUCAAGUAACAUGGUCUACAAAUGAGACAGAUGACUGAAAACUCUGACUCCAAUUGACAGAAGAGAAGAAUGAUCAAUGGCAAAGAUGGAUUAGAUCCCUUGCUCUUAUUCGAGGACAUCGAUGUCCCCUCUUUGGAGAAAGAGUGCUCAACAACACCUGUGACAAUAGUAGGCCUAGAGGACUCUGCCAGAAGCAACAGGUGAACAAGAUGAGGUCCAUGGGAGGAUGCAAACAACCACAUCCUUUCUUGAACACACAGAAUCUGGAAUUAAAAUGUGUCUCAUCCAGGAACGUAUUUUACCUCCAGCAGAAGAAAAAAGAUACUGUUGACCAGGACAAAAUGUGUAAGUGCUACAUGAAGAAGAGGUUUGCAUGAAAUGUUUGGAUAACUUGGAGGGCCUUUGUUGCCCUGCUGUUCAAGAGCAGCAUCACCGACAUACACAUCAUAUGGAAGAAGGCUACUCAGUCUCCUGACCUUACAUAUAUUCAUGAUAUGGAGUGUGAUGAACUUACAGUUUCUGUAGAAUAAGUUACCAUAAUCCAGUUAAGAUCCAAUGUUUAAAAUAACUACUUACAAAGAUAAGGUAAAAGUUACCUUUGAUUUACAGCUGCACCUGUUGUACCAGAAGACUUCCAAAUGUUUGAGAAGAAAAUGUCUUUUAAGAAAAAUAUGUAGUGUAUGGUAACUAUCUAGAUUCCAGCAUUCAAGAGAGAUUUCCUGGUGAUGCACUAAUCACUACUAGAGUUUAUUUAUCUUUCUAAGAAGAAAGUACUAGUCAUCUUCAAGUGACAUUUUCUUUCAAAAAAAUGAGAAGUAAGGAACAGGUAAAAGAGUUUUUUAUACGGCAUUUUUUGAAAAACCUGAAAUAAAGCACAGCAAAGAGAAGACCAAAAUAAGCACCUGACGAACUUACAAUUUUACUCUGACUUUGCAGGAGUUUCUCGCAUUUAGUGCAGUUUAAGGAUGAGAUAAGCAGCUGAGUAAGUCCCUUAAUGAAAAUCAGUUCUACAGAUUAUGAUAGAUUCCUAAAAUCCUUGAGAAAACCAUUCUGCUGGGUUUUUAAUUUUCACGUACUCUUUCAUUUUGUUAAGAUUUCUACCGGUAAGUUUUUUCUCUUUUUAAACUUCUGCAGUCACUUGAUUUGAUAGACCUGUUUACACUCAAACAAGUAAGCAUUGCCUAAUUCUUGCAUGCUAUAUUUCUACACAUCUACAACUGCAUCCACCCACUCAAUAAGAUGAAGAUGUCAUCAUAUGAAUUUUAAUGAUAAGAACUGUAUUAUGAUUGUGGCACCAACAGCAUCAAAACACAAUUUAUACAACUGUAAUAUUUUUAAACCACUGUACCUAUUCUUUCAAAUGAAACUUCUCAUUAGAGUUUUUUGUCAUGCUUAGUCUUAUUUUCAAGAAGAGACUACUUUGACUAAAAAAAUGCAACAUCUGUAGAAUUUUAUUGCGAACAAACCCCAUUUUAAUUAUAUUUAAUUGGAUAUUGUUUUUCAGCUGUCUUCAAGAAAGAAGACUGCUGCUUCUACGUCCAUUAUCAUACACAUAGGAAGAUAACUACCCUGCCACUGAUUUUCACUUAACAUGAGAAUUUUAUUAUUUUGGCUGGAUAGUUUCACCCACUGCCUAACCACCCAUGCCUCAUCAGAAUACACGGUUGCCAAAUUCUUCUUGUACAAGUAACCCUAGGAUAUGUUUUCCUUUAAAAAUGUCAAAUUCGCUGCAUAAUUAAGGUGGUCCAUUUUACAUUUCAGAAACAUCAAGGUCAUUUGAGUAUAAGAUUUAAAUAGCCCUUCAUGGUUUCUGUUUUAUCAGCAGACAAAAGAGUUAUCCUUAUUUAGCCCUUUGCCAUCUCCAGAUUUAGAUAAUUUCUUCAUUAAUUUUCAAAGGAAACCUGCUGAUGUCCUUUUGAUAUUGUUUUCAAGAGUAUUAGAAGCUUUCUUUCUCGCUGCAUGCAAACAAUAGAAAACAGUCUCCUGUGUUCUCUAAUUCAAAUAUGAUGCUUUUGUGUUUUAAAACUGUACUAAAGAGGCUGCUGGAAAGUUUUUUCAUGCUAGUCUUCUCUGUCUGAGUGAGUGCAUUUUGUGGGCUUUUUAAAUAAGAUACCCCACAUUUAUUUUUAAUCGCAGUCCAUAACUAAGCCCACUUCCUUUAACCCAUAUUUACUUUAAGAAACAAGGAAAAUAUGUCAAGAUCUUUGAAUUAAAAUUUACCAUAACCUAAAACUUUCUUGUCAUAGUACAACUCUUCUUGUGCGAAAGUGGAAGACCAGUUUUGAAAUAAAAUUUAUAUUUUAUCAGGAUUAGGUCUUACAGUAUAUCUGCCCCUGAUUUGUGGAUCCUUCCACAGACACCUACAGGGCACCUGACCACCAGUCAGUGUACAUCCUUUAGAAAAGAUAUCACCCUCAACACACAACUAACAGAGCUCCGAGAAGCCAAAUCCAGCCCUUGAUCAACACCUGUAAAGAUCUGCAGCACAGUCUUGAUCAACUUGUACCCUGCUAAAAGGGUGGGUUUUGAUGAUUCUUUUCCUCUUAUGUUUCCUAUAUUGUUCACCAGGUCUAAUCUUAAGUCAACCUUCUUCACUGUUUGUGUACCAUACUCAUCCUCUCUUUCUUACUCCUUCACGUUUACCUCGGGUUUUCUUGUUUCCAUUCUCAAGGAGAAAAUACCUAUUUAGCAAGUAACCAUUAUAACUCCAGUAGAUUCGCAAAUCCCUAAUUUUAUCUUGCCAUACCUAAUUUUUUAAAUCUUGUUCAGUACAAAAUAAUGUUUUCACUAUCUCUCGUGAAUCACUAGCCCCUAGCACUAGUCGAAACUUCUCAUAUCUACACCUCAGCCUCCACUGCUUUCUCUGAUUUUCAUAUUUUACUUGUUUCUUACUACCUCCAAACCUGCUCUUUACAUUUUUUCUCAGAUGCAGGCACACACACAUACAUACUGAAUUAAACAUAGGUUAUCUCAUCCCACUUCAUCCUAAGGAUUAUUCAUGAGUUCAUGUUGUAUUCAUACAAGUCUUAUGAGGAGCAGCUGAGGAAAAUGGGGCUGUUCAGCCUGGAGAAAAGGAGGCUGAGGGGAGACCUUAUCACUCUCCACAACUACCUGAAAGGAGGUUGUAGCAUGGAGGGGGUUGGUCUCUUCUCCCAAGUAGCAACUGAUAGGACAAGAGGAAAUGGCCUCAAGUUGGACCAAUAGAGGUUUAUAGUGGAUAUGAGGAAAAAAAAUGAAUAGUUUCAAAAUCUCAUCCAAAUAAGGGAUUCUCUUUUGGUUUUCCCUACUUUCUGCUCUCACUCCUUACAAUACUUUCUCCUAUUCAGCAACAAUUUAGAUCUUUGUAGCUGUUAUGUCUCCAUAGAUCUGACAUUUUCUACAGUCUGAAAAACUGUAUACCCUUUUCACAAAGAAAAAAAACUUUAUACCCUUCUCCUAGGUAUUCUUGUUUCAUGCAGCUUACAUAUUAUGUGAUAACACUCUGUUCUUCACAAUGUAAGCCAUCAAAUUUUCCUUUGUCUUCUCUUUGUUUUGUUUGUAUUCUGGUGUUGGCCAUAUACACGACAAAAGAAGAGUUUCUAUAUGUUGUUAAGUGUAAGCACUUGAUACCUCUAAUGCAGACCCAUCACAAAACUGCCAGUUCCAUGGGCAUAAUCCAUGGAGCAGAUCAAAGCAGAGAUCACGAUUUCAAAAGAGGUUCGCAGUAAAUGGGAAUGAAAUUACAUCCCUGUGUGAAUUCUGUUUAAGCUAGCACUUCCAGGUUGUACACAGUUAAUAUCAACAAAAGAGGAAGAAUGCAUAUUGCAGCUUUUGCAAUUACAGCCUUGUCUCUUACACUAAAAGAAACUUCUAUGCCAUGGUAUUAGCUAUUUAACAGGUAGAAAUCUAAGUUAAGCCAUUGUCUAGGCUUUUAUUUUACAGGUACUAGACAGAGGAAUCAAGAAGGGGUGAUAUAUGUCAUGUGCCUUAGUCUUCGGAUGAAAGUGCCAUUUGAGGAACCUGUGUUUGCCCACUGACUAUAGAGAAACUUGAGACUGUUAGGAUUUGCAUCUUAAAAAACAAAACAAAGCAAAACAAAACAAAACAAAACAUAAAAUCCUUAUAUUUCUGCAUCUUAAAUUUAUAGUAUACAUCAGUGCAGGAAUUUGAAACUGUGCAUUCCAGAGUAAUGGAUGCAGUCUUUUCUUUCCACAAAAUUGCAUUCUUUCUUGUGUAAUUCAGGUCAUCUACUGUACCACUUUAGAAGUUCCCAGUCACUCUGCCUUUCAUUUUCUUCUGUGCCUCUGUUAUUGCUGACACCCUAACAGAUGAGUUAUCAUAAAUUCUCUUUUUGUCAGGUUCCUAUAUCUCUGGUCCAUUUCAGUUUUAGAAGAAAAUAAAUGAAAGUUUUCAACAGUCUGAACAGUUAAUACAUUUCUAGACAUGAUUUUCUUGUGUAGUAUCUUAUUCUAUGUACAAGAUACAUGAAAAUGGAAAACUUCUGUUUCUUGAUUGACCUUAUCUCAUCAACAAAGAUUAUGAAGUAUUUGUAACUUGGGACUUACAAGGUUAUUUUAAUAAUAUUUAAUACUGUAAUUUGCAUGAUUUUAUUUAAAAUGUCAGUAACUGUAGUUGGAAGGUUUAAAAGGCAGAAAUUAAUACAUGAACUGUGGAUUAAGUUUGAUUUAUUUAAACAUUUAAGAUAAAAUUUUCUGUCAGUUUUAGGGAGAAAUCAAUAACAUACUAAUUUUAGGCCAGGCAGGAAGAAUAAUUUACUGCAUUCUUUGACAUCCAUGACAUGUUUAUGUAGCAAUCAUAUUAUGAAAUAUAUGUAACAUACACAAUGGGCAUGCCCCACUUCCUCAAUAAAUAAAUAUACAACCAGCAUUGUCUAAUC
This is a long non-coding RNA of Columba livia (rock pigeon), 6647 nucleotides long. RefSeq lists it as uncharacterized. Lineage: Eukaryota; Metazoa; Chordata; Aves; Columbiformes; Columbidae. The record is from RefSeq and is a predicted model, not a curated record. The transcript has 5 exons.